RNAcentral lists this ribosomal RNA (443 nucleotides) under uncultured bacterium. RNAcentral's name for it is "SSU rRNA". It matches the Rfam family "Bacterial small subunit ribosomal RNA", at positions 26 to 518 of the family's 1533-position model. The record is from RNAcentral.
AGAGCGAACGCUGGCGGCAGGCCUAACACAUGCAAGUCGAGCGCCGUAGCAAUACGGAGCGGCAGACGGGAGAGUAACACGUGGGAACGUGCCCUUUGGUUCGGAACAACACAGGGAAACUUGUGCUAAUACCGGAUAAGCCCUUACGGGGAAAGAUUUAUCGCCAAAGGAUCGGCCCGCGUCUGAUUAGCUAGUUGGUGAGGUAACGGCUCACCAAGGCGACGAUCAGUAGCUGGUCUGAGAGGAUGAUCAGCCUCACUGGGACUGAGACACGGCCCAGACUCCUACGGGAGGCAGCAGUGGGGAAUAUUGGACAAUGGGCGCAAGCCUGAUCCAGCCAUGCCGCGUGGAUGAUGAAGGCCCUAGGGUUGUAAAGUCCUUUGGCGGGAAGAUAAUGACGGUACCCGCAGAAGAAGCCCGGCUAACUUCGCGCCAGCAGCCGC